Molecule: ribosomal RNA, 443 nt
Filed under: uncultured bacterium
Lineage: Bacteria
Description: bacterial SSU rRNA
Rfam family: Bacterial small subunit ribosomal RNA
Source: RNAcentral
AACGAACGCUGGCGGCACGCCUAACACAUGCAAGUCGAACGGUAGGUAUAGUUUACUAUACUGAGAGUGGCGGACGGGUGAGUAACGCGUGGGAACCUGCCCUGUAGUUUGGGAUAACCAUGGGAAACUAUGGCUAAUACCGGAUAAGCUCGAGAGAGGAAAGAUUUAUCGCUAUAGGAUGGGCCCGCGUCAGAUUAGGUAGUUGGUAGGGUAAUGGCCUACCAAGCCGAUGAUCUGUAGCUGGUCUGAGAGGAUGGCCAGCCACACUGGGACUGAGACACGGCCCAGACUCCUACGGGAGGCAGCAGUGGGGAAUAUUGGACAAUGGGGGAAACCCUGAUCCAGCGAUGCCGCGUGAGUGAAGAAGGCCUUCGGGUUGUAAAGCUCUUUCACCUGAGACGAUAAUGACGGUAUCAGGAGAAGAAGCACCGGCUAACUCUGUG